Molecule: non-coding RNA, 128 nt
Organism: Schizosaccharomyces pombe (fission yeast)
Lineage: Eukaryota; Fungi; Ascomycota; Schizosaccharomycetes; Schizosaccharomycetales; Schizosaccharomycetaceae
Source: the annotation of a GenBank genome assembly
AUAUUUCCCGUCAAUUGAAGUCUGUUACAACUCUGGGAGAGUAUACAAACUGUCUCUAAAUUAUAUAGCCGUUCUGGCUAUAUCAGAGAUAGUUGUAUUGUCUUUGCUUUAAUUUCGGUGUUUCAAGC